Long non-coding RNA from Vigna unguiculata (cowpea), 2679 nucleotides. RefSeq lists it as uncharacterized. NCBI's taxonomy places the organism in Eukaryota, Viridiplantae, Streptophyta, Magnoliopsida, Fabales, Fabaceae. The record is from RefSeq and is a predicted model, not a curated record.
UUUUAAAUUUUCAAAUCUUUCAGUGUCUUCUUUCUACCCUCUCCUGUCACUUUACCAAACUUUUAUUUUUUUAAGGAAAUUUUUCCCCACUUGCGUAUUCGAAAGCAACAUCUUCAACUUCUACACCAUCUUCAACCUCAUAGAUGCUCUUACGCUCUCAUUCGGCAUUCUCAAAUGGUUUUUGUCAAGGUUAGACUCAUGGUUGGAUUCACAUGACUGACCGCAAUCGGAAUCGGUUGGCUUCUCAGGGAAGAACGUGAAGGUGACUCGAAGCUGAUGCUGAUAGCAAGAGCAAGGUUAAUCGAAAAAUCGACGGAAGAGGAGACAGAGUAUCAUUUGUUUCAAGUUGGCUAAUCCAGAGUCUCCCUUACAUCGAUUUGUUUUUAGGUGUGCGAUUUCACUUAUUCAUGCUUCACAAUGUUUUGUUGAAAUGUUCUUCUGCUAGAUAGAUAAAAUCUACCUUUUUAUUUGUUUGAACUAGAUGAAUAUUUUUACAUUAGUUUAUUACAGUGAAUUUAUGUUAAUGUUUUUAUUUCAUAAACUUUUAUGAGAUGAUCGAAUAUGUGAAAUUUAUAAUUGUUGCGUGAGUGUAAUAAUUUUGGGCACACGAUUUUGUCUGAGGAUUCACGUGAGCAAUUGAGCUUUUGAGUUUCAAAUAAUUGUGUCUUUGACCUAUGAUCCUUAUUGAAUGAAUCCGAAAGACAUUCGUAAGUUAUAAGCUUGGUUGCUUUUUUAGCUCGUGUACUUGAGUCUAUGUGCAGUUUUAGUCCUCUUAGUUUUGGUUUUCUUGCAUUUAGUCAUCAUAUUUUCCUAAUUGUUCAAAGUGAUUCCCCCGCCCCAAAUUUCAUCCAUUAAUUAACAGAAUUUGUACAUAGAUGGUCAUCUAUCAUUGCUAUGUUUAGAUUUUAGUCCUCUUGGUUUUAGAGUCUUGCAUUUAGUAAUCAUAUUUUCCUAAUUGUUUAAAUUAAUUCCCCCACCUCAAAUUUCAUCCAUUAAGUAACAAAUUUUUUGCAGAGGUGUAAUCUCUCAUUGAUAUGUAUAGAUCCACAACCGAAAAAAUAUAAAAUAAUUAAAUAAAAUAUAUUUAUUUUAUUUGAUACAUUCUUUAUUAUUUAUAUAUUUUAUAAUUUUUUCUUUGCUAAUUUAUACAAAAUAAUUAUAUGCCACCCCAUUAUUUAAUUUUUAUUAAUCAUUGGAUAACUUUUUUAGCUGAGUUGCUUUGAACAAUUAAGAAACUGAUAAUGGGGAGAGAAAAAAAAGCCCAGAGUAUAAAAUAAUACUACUAUAUCACUUGGGUUAAUGAUACCAUGUAAAACACCAAUCAAUAGUAUCCCAAAUAACCAUUCAACUUUUAAUUAUAAUUACUAGUGCUCUUGAACCCUUCUACUGCUUGUAAAUAGAUACGUUGAGUACCUAAAGUUCUAAAGAUUAUGCCAUGCUCCAAGUUCCUCCACAAAUUUGAGCAAUUACUCUUACUCAUUUUUCUUGUGCAUUACAUGAUUUGCUACGAUAACUAAUUUCUCCAAGUAUCUUUGUGCAAUGAGUGUUGAUAAUUUAUUAUCUUAUCACAACUUUAUUCUUUUGAAACCUUAAUGUGAAGGGUAAAUACAAAGUAUACGAUCUUUGUUUAUAAAGUUUAUAUGAUGGAUCAUUAUUUCAAGGAAAGGUGUGAUUUUCAUCUUUAUCUUCACUUUAACUUUAGUAAUCAAAUUGAUGUACUGGUAUUGAUGUGUAAUAAUUUUGACUGUUACUUAUCAUUAUUUAUCUCUCUAGUGUGGUGCACCUGCUCUUUAAGUGCAUUUGUUCUUUAUGUUCUACUUAAGGUUGAAAAUUUAAGCCAACUUGUCAAGAGCUUCUGAUUGUUAAUGUAACUAUCUAGAGUUUGAUAUUUUUACUUGUUUUAAAUGUCUGAUCGUAGGAGAAAGAAAAAUAUUUGUAACAAUAAAAACGAAUUGGAUUGCAUAAUGUUUAUGAAGCCUUUUCAUAGGUGCUUCACAAACUACAUGUUAGGUGCCAAAAGUUUGAACUCACACAAGAAAGGAAAUUACAAAGUCAUUUCUAGAGUGGUAUAAAUAUAAGCUUGAAUAAGGAUAUUUUUUCUAUUAGAGAAGGAAGAGUAAAUGUUUCUUCCAAAAAUUAGGGCUCAACUGCAAUUGGAUUGAAGUGGAUGCUUAAUCAGGUAAAAAGUGCUCACUAUUUAGUCAUGUUCUUGAGUAUUGUUUUUUUUUAUCGGCAUUCUAGAGUGUAGUGAAUCUGGUUUGUUUCAUAAACAUAUUAAACAUUUGUGUUUGUGUUUCAGGAAACGUUAUUUCUUUUGUAGGAUUAAUACCUUCAUAGAAACAUUAAUGCAAGCACAAAUGAAAGCACAAGCAGAAAUGCAAGCAAUUAUGCAACAACAGAUGCAAUAGCAAAUGCAAUCUUUAUUGUCUGCUUUAAAGAAACAAGAAUGAAGACAUGUCUCAAAGAAUCCAAAACUUUGUGUUUUAAUUGUGUUGAUGCAUUACUUUUUUUUUUAUACCCUUUGAUGCUUUUGUGUCCUAAAACUAUUAUACAUUGGUGGAAACUUUUAUGUUGUUUUGUAUUGUUUGAUGGAUAUACUUUGAUCAUUGUAGGAUUGAUUAUCUAUCCUUUUUAAACAUGUAUUGAAAAUAUUGGAGGUAUUUAGACAUUUUUUGUGAA